RNAcentral lists this transfer RNA (73 nucleotides) under Salmo salar (Atlantic salmon). It matches the Rfam family "tRNA". From Rfam's summary of the family: Transfer RNA (tRNA) molecules are approximately 80 nucleotides in length. Lineage: Eukaryota; Metazoa; Chordata; Actinopteri; Salmoniformes; Salmonidae. The record is from Rfam by way of RNAcentral.
AUCCCUGUGGCUCAGUUGGUAGAGCAUGGUGUGUGCAACGCCAGGGUUGUGGGUUCGAUUCCCACAGGGGGCC